UACGGAGGGAGCUAGCGUUGUUCGGAAUUACUGGGCGUAAAGCGCACGUAGGCGGCUAGGUCCGUCCGAUGUGAAAGCCCCCGGCUCAACCGGGGAAUUGCAUCGGAUACAGCCUGGCUUGAGGACGGUUGGGGUGAGUGGAACUCCUGGUGGAGCGGUGAAAUGCGUAGAUAUCAGGAGGAACACCGGUGGCGAAAGCGGCUCACUGGACCGUUACUGACGCUGAGGUGCGAAAGCUAGGGGAGCAAACGGG
This 253-nucleotide ribosomal RNA is filed under the name uncultured bacterium. RNAcentral describes it as "partial 16S ribosomal RNA". It matches the Rfam family "Bacterial small subunit ribosomal RNA", at positions 524 to 776 of the family's 1533-position model. The record is from RNAcentral.